RNAcentral lists this transfer RNA (74 nucleotides) under Gloeotilopsis planctonica. RNAcentral describes it as "tRNA-Asp". It matches the Rfam family "tRNA". From Rfam's summary of the family: Transfer RNA (tRNA) molecules are approximately 80 nucleotides in length. Their secondary structure includes four short double-helical elements and three loops (D, anti-codon, and T loops). RNAcentral also lists the same sequence under 1 other name. The record is from RNAcentral. Lineage: Eukaryota; Viridiplantae; Chlorophyta; Ulvophyceae; Ulotrichales; Ulotrichaceae.
GAAGCUAUAGUUCAAUCGGUUAGAGCACCCGCCUGUCACGCGGGAUGUUGCGGGUUCGAAUCCCGUUAGCUUCG